GAUGAAGAACGUAGCGAAAUGCGAUAACUAGUGUGAAUUGCAGAAUUCCGUGAAUCAUCAAGUCUUUGAACGCACAUUGCGCCCCCUGGUAUUCCGGGGGGCAUGCCUGUCCGAGCGUCAUUGCUGCCCAUCAAGCACGGCUUGUGUGUUGGGUCGUCGUCCCCCCCUCCGGGGGGGGACGGGCCCUAAAGGCAGCGGCGGCACCGCGUCCGAUCCUCGAGCGUAUGGGGCUUUGUCACCCGCUCUGUAGGCCCGGCCGGCGCUUGCCGAACGCAAAACAACCAUUCUUUCCAGGUUGACCUCGGAUCAGGUAGGGAUACCCGCUGAACUUAAGCAUAUCAAUAAGCGGAGGA
Molecule: unclassified non-coding RNA, 353 nt
Filed under: soil metagenome
Description: partial contains 5.8S ribosomal RNA, internal transcribed spacer 2, and large subunit ribosomal RNA
Rfam family: 5.8S ribosomal RNA (bases 1-120)
Source: RNAcentral